GGCUGGGAUUAUAAAUCUUUCCCACAUCACAUCCUAAACUCUCCACUUUUUCCAUCAUCCUGCACCAAUACAUUUUCUUUGGAAACUGUAGUUUUCCUCUAAUUCCCCCCUGUUAGGUUUGUCCCAGGGCCCUCAUAAAGAAAUGACCCCAGCCACAAGCAUGGGAAAAAGCGUCACCCAACUGACAGGCACAGACUACAUUGCAAACUUAAAGUAAAACUGGAUUGCAUCGGCCUUUGCAGAUUCAACAGAAAGUAACUUUAGAUUCACACAUGCAGAUUCAAUAUAUCUGCAUAUAGGACCAGCGGGAAGGAGCAUACAUGCCUAUGCAGUGGGUGGAAAUGUAUAACUCUUCUUUUCCCUUUCAGCAUUGCUUCCCUGGAUUAGAAUCCCUUUUCUGAGCGCUGGGACCACAUGCAUGUCCAGGUGACUUACAGACGGUCAACAGACCUGAUGAUCAGCUGCCAGCAAACAAGAGGAUGAGUACCAUCACCAGAGGGAUGACCUGAACAGCUGAAAAAAUCAGACCAGAUGCCAGUAAUUCAGGCAGGCUCCUGUAGGAGCUCUUCUCAUAAAACCCAGAAAGGUUCUCACUUCCUGAGAUCCACGUUGGCCCACCUGAUAAUAGUCAUGAGACAUAGCACUGCCUCUUUGAAGCAUUUCCCAACUUGCCCUAAAUUCUCCUCCCUCCCUCCCUGUCAGGUGGGUGGCUAAUUAUUUACCUCUGUUUUUACCUUUUACCAUUUUUUAGACAGGUUAGUUCAGGGACAAAAAGAAGGGAUGGGGCAGAUCCAAAGAAAAUCUAAAUCUGUGCCACAACUGUGAUCCAAAACAGCUCUGCUCAGUGGCUGCUUGAACUCAUAAGGCAACUUCCUUUUUGAUGGGAAGAUCCUUUGGACACCUGCAGUUUUGUUGUGGGGAUGCCCAGAACUGUCCCUGUCUUAAAAACUUGGCUUUCAUCUCCCACCACAGACCCAUUAAGCACUGCACAAGCCCCCUACACACUUCCAUCCAGUAAGUAUGCUUCCAGCACGCCUAACCAGAUGACAGCAUUUGUAGGCAUCUGUCUGUCCCGUGAGACAAUGUAAUUACCCCGGGUGACACAUCAGCUCGCUGAAUGUGAAGCUGGAGUGACCUUUCCAGGGUGCAAAAGCCUGGGCAGUGUAUAUGGAGACACCGAGCUGCUGACACACCGGUGUCCCUCACUCGGCCUUGCUGGUUUAGUCCAAAGGAAAGGCAGGUGCCGGUACAUCCAGAACCAGCUUGGCUGCAGGAGCUGCCGGAGCAAAGGAGAUCAUCCAUUUGUCCGUCUAUCAGGAUUUUACUCCUAGACUGGCUGCCGACCAGGGUUAAAGAGCUGUCAUUUUAUUUCAACUAAUGUCAUCACAGCUACAGCAUAACUCUUACACUACCAACUUACGUAAUGUCAUGUAUAGAAAUCUCUGGUGGAAAAA
This is a long non-coding RNA of Gavialis gangeticus (Gharial), 1454 nucleotides long. RefSeq lists it as uncharacterized. The transcript is spliced from 2 exons. The record is from RefSeq and is a predicted model, not a curated record. NCBI's taxonomy places the organism in Eukaryota, Metazoa, Chordata, Crocodylia, Gavialidae.